This 343-nucleotide small RNA is filed under the name Lelliottia amnigena. Its description in RNAcentral is "cspA thermoregulator". The record is from RNAcentral. Lineage: Bacteria; Pseudomonadati; Pseudomonadota; Gammaproteobacteria; Enterobacterales; Enterobacteriaceae.
GUUCGAUGCACAGGCGAACGUAAACAUUUUAUCGGGCAGUCCUCAUUACCAGGUGCUAUCGCUGAUACCCCUCCUUCUGAGUCCAUACGUUUAUUAUUAUACGUUUAUUAUCUCACUCAUCAUGCGUAACAGGAGUAAAUAUGUCCUCAAGAAUUAGAGGCCUGGUAAAGUGGUAUAAAGAAGACAAAGGUUUUGGUUUCAUCUCACCUCUUGACGGAGGCAAAGAUAUCUCUGUUCAUGUUUCGAAUCUUAAGGGGGAUAAUUUUAAAACCCUGUUUGAAGGACAGAAGGUCGAAUACACUAUUUACAAAAGUAAUAAAGGUCCCGCUGCUUCUAACGUCAU